Salarias fasciatus (jewelled blenny) is the source of this 3980-nucleotide long non-coding RNA. RefSeq lists it as uncharacterized. NCBI's taxonomy places the organism in Eukaryota, Metazoa, Chordata, Actinopteri, Blenniiformes, Blenniidae. The record is from RefSeq and is a predicted model, not a curated record. The transcript has 3 exons.
AAUUUUGUGUUUAAACAGUUGUUACAUUGUGUAUAAAUGUAUUUAUACUGAGUUUACUCAUUUCCUGACAUCACUCAUAUUCAUUUCUACAUUGUUCUGACUACAGCUUCCAGUUCCACCACCAUCACAAAUCUGUUCGCGUGGCUCAAACCAAGACUUUCCAGUUUAUCAGGUCUACGUCUUCACAUUCGUCCUGUCCUUGUUGUUCCUCCAAAUGGACCUCAGGGAUAAGUGACCACCAGCCGCCAAAUGCUGUUCAGAUUUUGGUGUGUUCACAUCAUUUGGGCAGAUGAAGUUGGCCAGUUCAGCCUCAUCUCAACAAACAUUUAUCAAAAUGCUUGAAGAUCGAGCCUUCAGCACAGGGACGGUGAGAACUCAUUUCAAUUUUUUUUCCUAACUUUCAAGCCUGACCAAAAUGUUGUUUUAUUUGUUGGAUGGAUAUCAUCCAAAAUAAUAAGGUUCAUAAUCACACAUAAUUGGCACGCAACUGAUAAUAAACGCCAUCAUGAUUCAUGACUUGGAAGGUAACAGUAAUAACAAUCUUUUUUUAUAGAUCACUUUUCAAACAAAUGUCAAGAGUGGAUUUAAACCAAGUCAGAGCAUGAAAUUAACCAUGCAAUUAAAAAAAAACAUACUAGAACUAUAUAAAAGACUCAAUCAAAAAUGAAUAAAAACUCUGAUAAAAAUGUGUUUCAAAAAAAGACUUUAAAGAGAGUAGAGAAUCGGUCUACCUGACAUCUGCUGGCAGAGGGAUGUCAGAUGUUCCAGAGAUUCAGGGCCUGAAUUGAAAACGCUCUGUCCCUCUUUGGGUUCAGCUGAGCCUCCAAGCCUCUGGAACAUGUAAAAAGUCUCAGUCUGGAGAUUACAAGAUGCAACCUGGAGUGUAAGGAAUGAAAAUAUAGCUGGAACUCAGACUGCUGAAUGCUAUAAAAGUGAAUAACGCAUGACUGUAAAACAUGAUGUUAAUACUUUAAUAAUUAGUGUCAUUUAAGUUGGAAUUGGUGUGUCACAUGUUCCACCGAUUUGAAGAUGUAACUUUUACACUGUAUAACAAUAUAGGUUUCCACACACGUUGCUGGACAGCACGAAGGUUUGAGUGAUUGUCCGCAUGAAUUAUAUUGUCAGGCUAUUUGUUCUAUUUUAACAGGACAGAUGAAUCACUUUUUGAUGGACUGUUCAUCACACAGGAUCCCAAAGUGUCUGCCGUUACAUUUUUGCAUUUUUGUGGCUCUCCUGCUGUAUGACAGGUUGGCUGUAACUGCUCUCAGUCAUGGCAUGUCUCCUUUCUACAAUAAGCUAUCACAAAUACUUGCAAUUUCACCAAUAGGCUACAGGUAUUGGCCAUAUUAGCAGAAGGCGGCAGAGAAGGUCCCUGAGCUACAUCCACUGGCAGAGAUGAAGCCUUUUCUCUCUGAGAUGCAUGCCAAGGCUCACACAGGCAAAUGUGAGGUGCAGUGACAAGUUAAAUGUUUGUGUCGCAAUUUGUUUUUUAGGAACUCUGGGAAGCUGCAGGAAAUACCACUGGAGAGGAGGUGGAAAAAGUCGACAGCUUCCUCUCCAGGGCAGCUCUGACGAACAAGUCAGGCACAGCAUCAGAUUAGAAAAUAGAAUUAAAUAUGUUUUAUGUUGUAAUAAUGUAUUAAUUGAAUUUUGAUUUGUUUGUGAAAUUGUUCUGCUGAUGCUCUGAUCUGAUGCAGUUGCAGAAAACUGGAGGGAAGAGCUACAGAGAACAAGUUUCACUAAAGUUUGAAGUAUUUUAUUAUUUUUCACAAUGAAUGUUUAUUUUUUUGCACCAUCUCAAAAAAUUGGACACUGCAAUAAUUGGCAGGAUUAUUUAUUGUUUCGAAAUAGAUGACAAAGUGAGCUGAAGUGGAAGCAGCAAAUCCUGGCUGAGUCCCUCAAGCAAGACCUCAACAUCUCUCUGGAAGAGACACAACAGUGGGUGGAAGAUGUCAAACAAUGGGCAGUGACUGGAACACAAUACAAUCCCUUGUGAAUUAAUUUGAUAAUGUCGUGUCACACAUUUGGCUAUGACAUUGCUUCUUGUGUAUGUGGUGGUGGGGCGAGGUCAAGCUCGCAUGUAAGGAAGAGAGUGAAGCGGCUCAGGGAAAAGUGCUGGAGAGAAAUAACGAGGAGCACCUGUGUCUAAUAACCAUUGAUUAUCUCUCCCCCUCUCUCCCCCAGAGGCUGGCUGGGUUUAAAAAGGGGGAUACGCACUAAAAAGGAGUCGCUCCAUGAAGGAAGCAGAGGUUUUGUGUGCUGUCUAGUCUAGAGGGAUACCUGAAAUGGCGCUCCUUGUGUUUUGAUGCAGAGCGGAUCCAAUAAAAGUAACCAAACAAAAGGAGACAUAAGAAGAGGAUCUGAGUGCAAUCUCUCUGGAGUUCUACCUCUGGACGAGCAGGGAGACGGCGACGGUUUGCCAAUGUCAUGCUUGUCAGACGAAGAGGAGAAAGUAAUCCUUGUGAAGAAGAUGACUCAGCAGUCAGCAUGACCAAUAUCUGACAGACUGGACAACCUCCUUCACAAAACUGAAGAGGACAUCAAAAAUCACACUCAUUUUCCUGGAAAUUGUACAACCUUUUUUUUACUGACCCAGUUGUGAUAUUUUCACAAUUAUGUACAUCCUCUGAAUAAUGUAUUCAAAAUAUUUUUUUUUAGCUUCAGUGUUGCCUAUUUUUAGUUUAACUAAACCGUUUAUCAUGUUUCACUUUAGCACCAUCUACAGGUAUGACAGAGGAGGGAUACAGGGGGCUGCAGUGCUGUCCUCUGCAGAAGCAACAGUCUUCUGGAGAAAGUGAACUCUGUCACUGCCACCUAUCGAUGUUUUGAAAUGGACUCAUCUUUCCUCCAGUUUCAGGAAGACAAAGGAUUCUGAAGAGAGUGAGCCGAGAGUGAGCAGGAUGACAGCACUCUGGAGCUUUCAGAGGAAGAUAUGUAAGCUGAAUGUCUUUACAUGGUAGCGUUUGAUGUGUUGGCACAUUUGUGCAGUGCAAGCUACCAUGAAUGGCAAAUGGUGAAUGAAUUUCAUUUAUAUAGCACUGUUGCAGCGUACACCGUCAGUCACAUUCACCCACCGACAGCAGCAGUUUGGAGUGACAUUGGGUUGCCAGUGGAGGCGUCUUAAUCCAUCCACUGGGAGCAGUUUGAGGUUGGGUGUCUUGCUCAAGGACACGUUGACAUGUAGAGAUGGGAGACUGAACCAAGAACCUGGUUGCUUGAUGACCACUCUGCUGGUUGAGUCACAGUCAGAAACGUCAUAGUACAGCGGCAGUUUGGACAGUGGUGGCAGAUGUAAAUAGACCACUUUGUACAUGUACUCUUUUUAAAAGUUCUCAACUCCAUCUUCAUUGUCAGAAAAUGUACUUUUGUAGAAAUGUGAAAGAAUCUUUUGUUCAGUAAAAUCCAGUAUUCCUACAAUGUUUUUUUAUUUUUGUACUGCUGUAUUGAUAUUUAUAAUUACAAGUGUUGCUUGACUACCUUACUGCUUUGAAUUUGUUGUUGACAUCCAUUACACAACUGAAAUAUCUUUUUUUUUUUUUUCUUUCUGAAGUGCGGCUGUCUUUGACCACAUCUUUAUUCAGAUAAAAUGUUUUAAUAUGAUUGGGUGGUAUGCUGACUUAGCCUGUGCCACAUUUUAUUAGUUGCAUCGUCCAAUGAAAUGCAUUCAGAUUUAGCCGGUGUAUGUAUCUGCUGGAUUACACACAUGCGUCGUAUUCAUGAAGUGCGACAUGAAGUUUUCUUUUUGAGGUUUGCCUUUGAUCUGCUCAGUGGAAUUUCAGAGCUGACAUCUCAUGUUAACGCUUGGUUCUUUGUUCAUCUUCAAUUUGUCAUGAAUGUAAAAAUCAAUUUCCACUUAAGAAAACAACAAAGGUGGAGCUCCAGACUAAAGUCUAACCCUAAUGAUACUGUAGUUCCACUUCUCUUGAUAUCCUCUCACUUCAUACAAAGCAUUCCUGCUGUGCCCUCCUCAACUGUCAAUU